UACGUAGGGGGCGAGCGUUAUCCGGAAUUACUGGGCGUAAGGCGCACGCAGGCGGUUCGCCAAGUUUGGAGUGACAGUUGUCGGCUCAACCGACAAAGGACUUCAAAAACUGGCGAACUUGAGGACGAGAGAGGAACAUGGAACUCCAGGUGUAGUAGUGAAAUGCGUAGAUAUCUGGAAGAACACCAAUGGCGAAGGCAAUGUUCUGGCUCGUUUCUGACGCUCAGGUGCGAAAGCCAGGGGAGCGAACGGG
RNAcentral lists this ribosomal RNA (253 nucleotides) under uncultured bacterium. RNAcentral describes it as "partial 16S ribosomal RNA". It matches the Rfam family "Bacterial small subunit ribosomal RNA", at positions 524 to 776 of the family's 1533-position model. The record is from RNAcentral.